Molecule: small RNA, 26 nt
Filed under: Arabidopsis thaliana (thale cress)
Lineage: Eukaryota; Viridiplantae; Streptophyta; Magnoliopsida; Brassicales; Brassicaceae
Description: ATSL237900
Source: RNAcentral
UAUACACGAUUCAGACGUUUUGCACC